This 497-nucleotide ribosomal RNA is filed under the name uncultured bacterium. RNAcentral describes it as "partial 16S ribosomal RNA". It matches the Rfam family "Bacterial small subunit ribosomal RNA", at positions 28 to 507 of the family's 1533-position model. The record is from RNAcentral.
GAUGAACGCUGGCGGCGUGCCUAAUACAUGCAAGUCGAGCGAACGGACGAGAAGCUUGCUUUUCUGAUGUUAGCGGCGGACGGGUGAGUAACACGUGGAUAACCUACCUAUAAGACUGGGAUAACUUCGGGAAACCGGAGCUAAUACCGGAUAAUAUUUUGAACCGCAUGGUUCAAAAGUGAAAGACGGUCUUGCUGUCACUUAUAGAUGGAUCCGCGCUGCAUUAGCUAGUUGGUAAGGUAACGGCUUACCAAGGCAAGGAUGCAUAGCCGACCUGAGAGGGUGAUCGGCCACACUGGAACUGAGACACGGUCCAGACUCCUACGGGAGGCAGCAGUAGGGAAUCUUCCGCAAUGGGCGAAAGCCUGACGGAGCAACGCCGCGUGAGUGAUGAAGGUCUUCGGAUCGUAAAACUCUGUUAUUAGGGAAGAACAUAUGUGUAAGUAACUGUGCACAUCUUGACGGUACCUAAUCAGAAAGCCACGGCUAACUACGUG